UCCCUGGUGGCUUAGAUGGUAAAGAAUCUGCCUGCAAUGCAGGAGACCCAGGUUCAAUCCAUGGAUCGGGAA
This 72-nucleotide transfer RNA is filed under the name Ovis aries (sheep). It matches the Rfam family "tRNA". From Rfam's summary of the family: Transfer RNA (tRNA) molecules are approximately 80 nucleotides in length. The record is from Rfam by way of RNAcentral. Lineage: Eukaryota; Metazoa; Chordata; Mammalia; Artiodactyla; Bovidae.